GUGGAGAUGGGUUUUGAGAAAGUGAUAUUGGAAUUUGGUUCAGCUAAAAUGGUCAAUCUGCAUAAUGGUAGCACUUUUCCUUUGAAUUAUGUUGGUACCAGAUAGGGAAGGUAAGUUAGUUGUCCAUUCUCUUGCUAAAGCCUCUCUUAAAUGUUGUGGAGAGGAACUUGUUUGGAUAGAAGAGGUCCCUUCUCAUGUCAUGAACCUUGUUCUUAGUGAUCAUUCGCUUCACGA
This 234-nucleotide unclassified non-coding RNA is filed under the name Hevea brasiliensis (rubber tree). Lineage: Eukaryota; Viridiplantae; Streptophyta; Magnoliopsida; Malpighiales; Euphorbiaceae. The record is from RNAcentral.